GCUCUUUUUUCGUCAACCUUCCUCGCCUAUAUUGGCGUUGCCGUCCGCAAGGCCGGCUAUGGCGAUAAACGUGCGUUGGAAUAAACCUAUCGGACCCGGGGGCAGUACCCGGCGGCUCCACCAAUUCCAGGAGUCAGGAAACCGGCAUCAGGGAUCAGGACGCAAAGCUUCUGCCUGAUACCCUGACGCCUGAUGCCUGAUCCCUGAUCACGGGGCCGAAACAGGAUCGACGAGGGCGUAAAGGACGUGCUUUUGCCCGGUAUGGUACCGCCGUGAUGGACCAAUCCAUAGUUGCCAACGACAACUAUGCUCCGGUAGCGCAGGCCGCGUAAGCGGUUUGUAAUACCGAUACUUAAAGUCCUGACGGGAUAAGCUCCGGCAGGCGGGGUUCGGAGGCACCUGGCAACAGAAGCCUCCACU
Molecule: transfer-messenger RNA, 420 nt
Filed under: Alphaproteobacteria bacterium
Lineage: Bacteria; Pseudomonadati; Pseudomonadota; Alphaproteobacteria
Rfam family: Alphaproteobacteria transfer-messenger RNA
About the family: Bacterial tmRNA, also known as 10Sa RNA or SsrA, is named for its dual tRNA and mRNA-like properties. Its role is to liberate the mRNA from a stalled ribosome. To accomplish this part of the tmRNA is used as a reading frame that ends in a translation stop signal.
Source: RNAcentral